RNAcentral lists this ribosomal RNA (428 nucleotides) under uncultured bacterium. RNAcentral's name for it is "bacterial SSU rRNA". It matches the Rfam family "Bacterial small subunit ribosomal RNA", at positions 355 to 775 of the family's 1533-position model. The record is from RNAcentral.
UGGGGAAUCUUGCGCAAUGCGCGAAAGCGUGACGCAGCAACGCCGCGUGGGGGAAGACGGCCUUCGGGUUGUAAACCCCUUUCAGGAGGGACGAAGGUUCGGCGGUGAAUAGCCGUCCGGACUGACGGUACCUCCAGAAGAAGCUCCGGCUAACUACGUGCCAGCAGCCGCGGUAAUACGUAGGGGGCAAGCGUUGUCCGGAAUCAUUGGGCGUAAAGCGCGCGUAGGCGGCCCUGUAAGUCCGUUGUGAAAGUCAAAGGCUCAACCUUUGAAAGCCGAUGGAUACUGCAGGGCUAGAGUCCGGAAGAGGCGAGUGGAAUUCCUGGUGUAGCGGUGGAAUGCGCAGAUAUCAGGAGGAACACCAAUAGCGAAGGCAGCUCGCUGGGACGGUACUGACGCUAAGGCGCGAAAGCGUGGGGAGCGAACAG